Molecule: ribosomal RNA, 207 nt
Filed under: uncultured Acidobacteriota bacterium
Lineage: Bacteria; Pseudomonadati; Acidobacteriota
Description: uncultured Acidobacteria bacterium partial 16S ribosomal RNA
Rfam family: Bacterial small subunit ribosomal RNA
Source: RNAcentral
CGCGUAGGCGGCUUUGCAAGUCAGAUGUGAAAGCCCCGGGCUUAACUCGGGAAUUGCAUCUGAAACUGCUUAGCUUGAGUCCUGGAGGGGGUAGUGGAAUUCCCAGUGUAGCGGUGAAAUGCGUAGAUAUUGGGAGGAACACCUGCGGCGAAGGCGGCUACCUGGACAGUGACUGACGCUGAUGCGCGAAAGCUAGGGGAGCGAACG